This 369-nucleotide ribosomal RNA is filed under the name uncultured bacterium. RNAcentral describes it as "bacterial SSU rRNA". It matches the Rfam family "Bacterial small subunit ribosomal RNA", at positions 29 to 425 of the family's 1533-position model. The record is from RNAcentral.
AGCGAACGCUGGCGGCAGGCUUAACACAUGCAAGUCGAACGGGCGUAGCAAUACGUCAGUGGCAGACGGGUGAGUAACGCGUGGGAACGUACCUUUUGGUUCGGAACAACACAGGGAAACUUGUGCUAAUACCGGAUAAGCCCUUACGGGGAAAGAUUUAUCGCCGAAAGAUCGGCCCGCGUCUGAUUAGCUAGUUGGUGAGGUAAUGGCUCACCAAGGCGACGAUCAGUAGCUGGUCUGAGAGGAUGAUCAGCCACACUGGAACUGAGACACGGUCCAGACUCCUACGGGAGGCAGCAGUGGGGAAUAUUGCGCAAUGGGCGAAAGCCUGACGCAGCAACGCCGCGUGUGUGAUGAAGGCCUCGGUUG